GCUCCAUUUCCGAGUGAAUCGAAUGCCUACCAGGAAGACCAGACUAGAGGACAACUGAUUUCACGGAUCAGGAUGCAGACUGGCUGCGGAAUGGCUCUGUCCAGGGGACUGAGGUGCUGCCAGCGAGUCCUAGCAUGGGUGCCUGUAGUCAUUAUCUCCCUGGUCGUGCUUUGGUCGUAUUACGCCUAUGUGUGUGAGCUGUGUCUAGUGACUAUCGAAAAUGCUUUAGAAAGAGCAUUAUACCUCUUCAUAUUUCAUAUAAUGUUUUUACUCUUCGUUUGGACAUACUGGAAAGCAAUUUUUACUUCUCCUAAAGAGCCAACAAAAGAGUUUUUGCUGCCUUAUGCUGAAAAGGAGCGAUAUGACAGCGAGGAGCGCCCAGAAGUUCAGAGGCAAAUCCUUGCUGAAUUUGCAAAGAAGCUACCUGUUUAUACCCGGACAGCAAAUGGAGCAAUUCGUUUCUGUGAUCGGUGCCAGGUUGUGAAGCCCGAUCGCUGCCAUCACUGCUCUGUGUGUGGGAUGUGUGUCUUAAAGAUGGACCAUCAUUGUCCAUGGGUAAACAACUGUAUUGGAUUUUCUAACUACAAAUUCUUCCUGCUAUUCCUGGAAUAUUCCAUGCUGUACUGUUUGUACAUUGCUUCUACAGUUUUUAAGUACUUCCUUCUUUACUGGACGGGCGAGCUAUCAAAUAGUCGUGCAAAAUUCCAUGUCCUUUUCCUGCUUUUUGUCGCUUUGAUGUUCUUCUUGAGCCUAAUGUUUCUCUUUGGAUAUCAUUGCUGGUUAGUGAGUCUAAACAGAACUACCCUUGAGGCCUUCUCGACCCCAGUGUUUCACAGUGGUCCUGAUAAAAAUGGCUUCCACCUGGGCAUUAGAAAGAACUUGGAGCAAGUGUUUGGGAAGCAGAAAAAUCUAUGGUUAAUUCCUCUCUUCACAAGUAUUGGAGAUGGACUAUCCUUUCCAAUGAGAACAGUUUCAGAAUCUCAAAACCCUUUGCUGUCUAGAGAGAAUCGGUGGGAUGAUGAUGAUGAUGAUGAUGGUACUGAUGAAGAAAAUCCAGGUCCUCAUGAGACGUCACACAUAGCCAUAGAAAUAGACACAUAGUUACUGGCACAGUUGAAGCUGAAAAUGCAAAGUUAAGGUAUGUAAGUUAAGGGGUCAGAAUACUGGGAAAGUUUGCACAUAGCAUCCGACAGCCAAUAUCCAGGCACCCUUGCUCCACAUGCAGACAUUGUACAGCUUUAGAACUCCAUCCCCAGGAGCCAUUCAGGCUGUGACGCUGUUGGACAAAUCUGCUGCUUAAGUUGGGCAAUUAUUUGUAUUUGGUGGGUGGGAGAAAGGAAAAUGCGAUUGUUUUUCUUCUGCACUCUGAGAAUUCUUUCUAUGCAAGAGGAGUUUUUCAGUAACAGUGAUUUUCAUUAUGUACUUUAACUUUUUGAUAUUCUAAUUUAUUGGUUGUUUAGCCAGUUGGCGUUUUGUAUAAAUACAGUUUACUAAUCAUUUUAUGAUGGAGGGUUAUUUCAAUCUAGUGUUUCCUGAAGGUAUUUUACUUGGUAUGUAAAACCCGGAGAAGCUGUUAUAGGCAUAUAAUAGACUGGAGGUCAUUUCCUGAGCUGUAGUUGAGAAUUGCACUGUAAAAACAAUGCUGCUCAUAUCCACAUUUUCCCACAGCUUCAUGCUCCCUUUGUCACUGGUUUGAGGUUAAUAUGACAAAUGCCAGGCUUAAAUGCCAAGUUCAGCUUUGUUUGUCUUUUUUUCCUAAAUUCCAGCUCCCCUAUGUAGCUAUAUAGCAUUAAUGUACCUCUUUUGCAAAAAUAAAACCACUUUUCAUUUAUUCUACACAUGCUUACAUUACUGUCUUCACGGCUGUUUAAAAACACUGCUCCAUUACUU
Rana temporaria (common frog) is the source of this 1890-nucleotide RNA transcript. It is a transcript of the gene named zinc finger DHHC-type palmitoyltransferase 15, with no coding region annotated. The transcript is spliced from 12 exons. Lineage: Eukaryota; Metazoa; Chordata; Amphibia; Anura; Ranidae. The record is from RefSeq and is a predicted model, not a curated record.